RNAcentral lists this transfer RNA (72 nucleotides) under Candidatus Kuenenbacteria bacterium CG10_big_fil_rev_8_21_14_0_10_36_11. Its description in RNAcentral is "tRNA-Arg". It matches the Rfam family "tRNA". From Rfam's summary of the family: Transfer RNA (tRNA) molecules are approximately 80 nucleotides in length. Their secondary structure includes four short double-helical elements and three loops (D, anti-codon, and T loops). Further hydrogen bonds mediate the characteristic L-shaped molecular structure. tRNAs have two regions of fundamental functional importance: the anti-codon, which is responsible for specific mRNA codon recognition, and the 3' end, to which the tRNAs corresponding amino acid is attached (by aminoacyl-tRNA synthetases). tRNAs cope with the degeneracy of the genetic code in two manners: having more than one tRNA (with a specific anti-codon) for a particular amino acid; and 'wobble' base-pairing, i.e. permitting non-standard base-pairing at the 3rd anti-codon position. The record is from RNAcentral. Lineage: Bacteria; Candidatus Kueneniibacteriota.
GCCCUUGUAGCUCAAUGGAUAGAGCAGGCCCGUCCUAAGGGCAAGAUGGGGGUUCAAUUCCCUUCAAGGGUA